GAUGAACGCUGGCGGCGUGCCUAAUACAUGCAAGUCGAGCGAACAGAUGAGGAGCUUGCUCCUCUGACGUUAGCGGCGGACGGGUGAGUAACACGUGGAUAACCUACCUAUAAGACUGGGAUAACUUCGGGAAACCGGAGCUAAUACCGGAUAAUAUAUUGAACCGCAUGGUUCAAUAGUGAAAGACGGUUUUGCUGUCACUUAUAGAUGGAUCCGCGCCGCAUUAGCUAGUUGGUAAGGUAACGGCUUACCAAGGCAACGAUGCGUAGCCGACCUGAGAGGGUGAUCGGCCACACUGGACCUGAGACACGGUCCAGACUCCUACGGGAGGCAGCAGUAGGGAAUCUUCCGCAAUGGGCGAAAGCCUGACGGAGCAACGCCGCGUGAGUGAUGAAGGUCUUCGGAUCGUAAAACUCUGUUAUUAGGGAAGAACAAAUGUGUAAGUAACUAUGCACGUCUUGACGGUACCUAAUCAGAAAGCCCCGGCUAACUACGU
RNAcentral lists this ribosomal RNA (496 nucleotides) under uncultured bacterium. Its description in RNAcentral is "partial 16S ribosomal RNA". It matches the Rfam family "Bacterial small subunit ribosomal RNA", at positions 28 to 506 of the family's 1533-position model. The record is from RNAcentral.